This 317-nucleotide long non-coding RNA is filed under the name Sorghum bicolor (sorghum). RNAcentral's name for it is "long non-coding RNA (SBIC_LNC006889)". The record is from RNAcentral. Lineage: Eukaryota; Viridiplantae; Streptophyta; Magnoliopsida; Poales; Poaceae.
AUAAUAUUUUGGUUACUACCACUUGCUACAUUAUUCCAGGAGGGUGAGUGCUCUGAAAAAAGUGAAUACAAGGAAAUAAAAAGGGGCAAGUGCCCAAAAACUCGAAGAAAAGAAAAAGUGAGACGAGAGGUAAAAAUAGACAAGUGUCUGACAGUAGAAUUAGGGGUACAAGAUACCCACGUGAGAGAAAAGAAAAAGAAAAUAUAGAGCAUCUCAUUCUCCUCAAAAAGCUUCAAAGUGCAAGAAAGGUAUGUAUCCCCUCAAAAGAGCAAAAGUAGAAUUAGACUUUCACCAUUGUUUUCACCAUCAUCACCAUA